RNAcentral lists this ribosomal RNA (420 nucleotides) under uncultured Bacteroidota bacterium. RNAcentral describes it as "bacterial SSU rRNA". It matches the Rfam family "Bacterial small subunit ribosomal RNA", at positions 35 to 440 of the family's 1533-position model. Lineage: Bacteria; Pseudomonadati; Bacteroidota. The record is from RNAcentral.
CGUACGGGGCUACGGGUGCGCUUGUUACAUGCUGAUCGGAACAAGGUAGCCCAUACGGAUUUCAGCCUUAGAUUCUUCACGAGGAGAGGCUCAGAACAUUCCAGCGUACUUGGAUGGGGGGUAUAUCCUCUCGAAAGAGAGAUUAACACCGCAUAAAAUCACACUUCGGCAUCGAAGAAUGAUCAAAUAUUUAUAGGAUUAAGAUGGGCAUGCGUGACAUUAGUUCGUUGGUGAGGUAACGGCUCACCAAGACUACGAUGUCUAGGGGAUCUGAGAGGAUGACCCCCCACACUGGUACUGAGACACGGACCAGAUUUAUACGGGAGGCAGCAGUAAGGAAUAUUGGUCAAUGGGGGCAACCCUGAACCAGCCAUGCCGCGUGCAGGAAGACGGCCCUACGGGUUGUAAACUGCUUUUAUA